This 487-nucleotide ribosomal RNA is filed under the name uncultured bacterium. Its description in RNAcentral is "bacterial SSU rRNA". It matches the Rfam family "Bacterial small subunit ribosomal RNA", at positions 501 to 987 of the family's 1533-position model. The record is from RNAcentral.
CUACGUGCCAGCAGCCGCGGUAAUACGUAGGGUGCGAGCGUUAAUCGGAAUUACUGGGCGUAAAGCGGGCGCAGACGGUUACUUAAGCAGGAUGUGAAAUCCCCGGGCUCAACCUGGGAACUGCGUUCUGAACUGGGUGACUAGAGUGUGUCAGAGGGAGGUAGAAUUCCACGUGUAGCAGUGAAAUGCGUAGAGAUGUGGAGGAAUACCGAUGGCGAAGGCAGCCUCCUGGGAUAACACUGACGUUCAUGCCCGAAAGCGUGGGUAGCAAACAGGAUUAGAUACCCUGGUAGUCCACGCCCUAAACGAUGUCGAUUAGCUGUUGGGCAACUUGAUUGCUUAGUAGCGUAGCUAACGCGUGAAAUUGACCGCCUGGGGAGUACGGUCGCAAGAUUAAAACUCAAAGGAAUUGACGGGGACCCGCACAAGCGGUGGAUGAUGUGGAUUAAUUCGAUGCAACGCGAAGAACCUUACCUGGUCUUGACAU